GGAUGGAUGGCCGAGCGGUUUAAGGCGCGCGCCUGGAAAGCGCGUAUAGGGUUAAUUAGCUCUAUCGAGGGUUCAAAUCCCUCUCCAUCCGCCA
Molecule: transfer RNA, 94 nt
Filed under: Rickettsiales bacterium
Lineage: Bacteria; Pseudomonadati; Pseudomonadota; Alphaproteobacteria; Rickettsiales
Description: tRNA-Ser
Rfam family: tRNA
About the family: Transfer RNA (tRNA) molecules are approximately 80 nucleotides in length.
Source: RNAcentral